Long non-coding RNA from Cercocebus atys (sooty mangabey), 697 nucleotides. RefSeq lists it as uncharacterized. The record is from RefSeq and is a predicted model, not a curated record. NCBI's taxonomy places the organism in Eukaryota, Metazoa, Chordata, Mammalia, Primates, Cercopithecidae. The transcript is spliced from 5 exons.
CAGUACGUUAAAUGGAUUCCACCGUUACUGCUGGGAGUCAGCCAUCAGUCUACACAUCAUGACUCUGGAGUGCAAACCCACGCCAUAUCCCUGAAUCUGUUGUGGAAGAACAGACUGGAAGACAUCUGCCUCUUGCCUUAUUUUUUUUAAUUCCUCUAAAUGAUAGAGCCAAGUCUCCACACCAGAGCUCCCUCUCCCUGAACAAACCAAAUGGCGGCUGUUGGCAGCGCACUGACAGCUUGUUAAUGGAGGAAUCCUUGACAGUGUGACAACCUGCCUGGGCUGCCGCGGGAAGCCAAAUCCGCCCCCACACAAACCCGAGUAAUUAACAGUUCUUGCUAGCAAGCUCUACUGGAAAGUGCUUUGACUUUGGAGUCAGGGUGGGAUCGGAUUUGUCAGCGAGACCAUGCCCUGAGCAGAAUUGCCCUGUGGCAAAGGAAACCUGAGCUGAGGACUAAAUGAGAAAGUCUAGAACCGGUGAACGCACAUGACCUCAGCUGAAAGCCUUUAGGAAACAUCCGCCCAAGGAGGGCUCCAUAACCCAGGGCUCACUGAAGAAAAUUCCAACUGAAGAUAAGCUGAGAGAAAAUAUCACAAAACACUGAAAAAUACCACUGUGAAAGGGCUUGCAUAAACGCUGGGUGCCCCAACACUGGAGCAGGUCCUGAAGAGGAAAAUGUAAAGUGCUUGUUAAAGG